UACGUAGGGGGCAAGCGUUGUCCGGAUUUAUUGGGCGUAAAGAGCGUGUAGGCGGCCAGGUAGGUCCGUUGUGAAAACUCGAGGCUCAACCUCGAGACGUCGGCGGAAACCCUCUGGCUAGAGUCCGGAAGAGGAGAGUGGAAUUCCUGGUGUAGCGGUGAAAUGCGCAGAUAUCAGGAGGAACACCGGUGGCGAAGGCGGGUCUCUGGGCAACUACUGACGCUGAGGAGCGAAAGCGUGGGGAGCGAACAGG
This 253-nucleotide ribosomal RNA is filed under the name uncultured bacterium. Its description in RNAcentral is "partial 16S ribosomal RNA". It matches the Rfam family "Bacterial small subunit ribosomal RNA", at positions 524 to 776 of the family's 1533-position model. The record is from RNAcentral.